GGUGGGGUUCCCGAGCGGCCAAAGGGAGCAGACUGUAAAUCUGCCGUCCUCGACUUCGAAGGUUCGAAUCCUUCCCCCACCACCA
RNAcentral lists this transfer RNA (85 nucleotides) under Escherichia coli. Its description in RNAcentral is "tRNA-Tyr". It matches the Rfam family "tRNA". Rfam says of the family: Transfer RNA (tRNA) molecules are approximately 80 nucleotides in length. Their secondary structure includes four short double-helical elements and three loops (D, anti-codon, and T loops). RNAcentral also lists the same sequence under 2 other names. Lineage: Bacteria; Pseudomonadati; Pseudomonadota; Gammaproteobacteria; Enterobacterales; Enterobacteriaceae. The record is from RNAcentral.